GAGAAAGAGACAUAAUAACUGCUAACUUUUAUAACCUGAUUAAAUUCAAGGCUUUCUCG
This 59-nucleotide transfer RNA is filed under the name Porichthys myriaster (specklefin midshipman). RNAcentral's name for it is "tRNA-Ser(AGY)". Lineage: Eukaryota; Metazoa; Chordata; Actinopteri; Batrachoidiformes; Batrachoididae. The record is from RNAcentral.